GCCAAAUUACUCAUCUCUGAUGCACUCACCAAGUCCUUGUCAGCCUCUAUAAAUUCCCUCAGAGCCUCCCUCUCCAAUAUAUCCCACCAAAGUUAGAUUACUUUUACAUGCCAUGUCUUCCAUUGGAGCUGCUUGUGCUCAGGUGUACUUGAUGAAAAAGAGGCAGGAGGAAAAGAUGAAGAAAGCUGAAGAAGAAAGAAGUAACACAGGAGGGUUUAAAGAGAGGAAAGUUGGUGGUGGUUAUUCAUCAACUGGAGCGUGGAGCAACAAAAAGGUUCAUCCAGGCAACUAUUUUCCAGGAACUACCUCUGCAGCAAAACAAGGAGAGUAAUGUUUGGUGAAAAUGGAAGCUCUCUUCAUUCUCUUGUAAAAUUAAUGCUCAAUAUUGUGCUAUAUAUAUAGCGAUAUAGUGUGAACUUUGCUUAUAUUAUUGAAUCAAUUGUGGGUGAUUUGGGUUUUCAUUUCUAAGUUUAUAGAUUUGGUCUUCUCAUUUUCUUGGUGUAAUUUUCAAUGGUUUUGUGAGAUAAUUAAGGUGUUGGUAUGUACCCAAAAAAGAAG
This 558-nucleotide unclassified non-coding RNA is filed under the name Hevea brasiliensis (rubber tree). The record is from RNAcentral. Lineage: Eukaryota; Viridiplantae; Streptophyta; Magnoliopsida; Malpighiales; Euphorbiaceae.